Molecule: long non-coding RNA, 3637 nt
Filed under: Nicotiana tabacum (common tobacco)
Lineage: Eukaryota; Viridiplantae; Streptophyta; Magnoliopsida; Solanales; Solanaceae
Description: long non-coding RNA (NTAB_LNC016239)
Source: RNAcentral
UCACAAGCCUCAACUGCUGCGAUAACUUCAAGUUAACUCUAACUUGAACACUCUAGGUACCUAAUACAAUUGCUUCUAUGAAAGCUGAAAGGUACGAUGUAAAAUCACCUGCUACAAUUGAACUUGAAUAAAAGAUAGACACUUGGAACUGGUUCUUUUAUCUCGUUCAAGUAGCUUCAGGAUUGCACACUUGAAUCACACAUAAAUUGCUUGCAAAAUCUCCUUGCUCUUUUGCUCUCAAUUUAAGUUUAACUUCUGCUUAUGUGCAUUACCUGUAAAAGAGAACAACACUGAUAUUUAAUGGGUUAGUAAUUAGAGAUUGACUAGGAUUCAAAUGCUACUCUUCUAUCGUAGAAGAGUUCAAGGUGAUCUCAGACUCUAACAUUAUCUUCUUCCUAGAUUGUGUUCUUUUCAUGUGAGUCUUUCUCUCCUUAUCCAAUAUGCAACCUUUUCGAUCAGAUCAGGAGAUAUUGCUUCUUGAUAAAUUAGAUUUAUCUCCUUCACGUGCAUCUCACAUGUACAAGUUGAUCACGACUGUGCUUCACAAGAUGGACCUAGUCCAUGUCUGAGUUCUUUUGUCAGUCUUUAAAACUUCACCUGUUCUUGGGCCAACAGGAGUGCAAUUCAUGGUUUUACCACUGUAUGAUGUGAUUUUAGGCCUUGAGCAGGUCCGCAUUAUGUUUUGGAACUGGUUAGUGUGAUCGGAUGGGGCUCAGGGGGUCCUCGGGUGGAUUCUGAAUGGUCAUCGGAUUGAGUUUGACCUUAUGGAGGUACUGAGCCUGCUGUCUUUUGGUGUAACCACACCUGCGAGGUUAGCGCCACAGGUGUGGAUCCGCAGAAGCGGGCAUGAGGGUCGCAAAAGUGGCUUAGGCUGGAAAAGACUAGGAUCGUAGAAGCGGCCGAGUUCCGCAGAACCAGGACCACACCUGCGCGUGGGGAGCAGCAGAAGCGGAUGGCGAUUGCAAAUACGGAAUCUAGGGGUCUGGUGGAGGACCGCAGAAGCGGUAAUUUGUCCGCACCUGCGAAACCGCAUAAGCGGUCAAGUGACUGCAGGUGCGAAGAAUCGUUGGGCAGUGUGUUUAUUUAAAAGACAGGAUUUGGCCUAUUUUCUUUCAUUUUCUCUUGGUUUGGGCGAUUCUUGGAGAGUUUCAAGAGGGGGUUUUCAUCAUCAAUGGCAAGGUAAGAUAUCCCCACCUAUUAUGAGUUAAAUACAUUGAUUAUGUUUAGAUUUUAACAUGAAAAUUAGUGAAAAUUUGGAGUUUUGAAUUAAAACCUAGAAAUUGGUAUUCUUAGAUUUUGACCACGAAAUUGGACAUGAAAUUGGGAAUAAAUUAUAUAUUUGAGUUCGUAAGGUUAUGGGUAAUGUUUAUCUUUAAAAAAUUUCGAAAUCCGGGCACUUGGGCCUGAGGGUGAUUUUAUCGACUUUCCGAGCGGAGUUGGGAAUUUGUUGUAAAUUGAAUUGUUAUGAGUAUUAGAGUAUAUUCUCUUUGGUUUGCACAUUAUUUGGCUAGUUUUGGAGCGUUCGCCAUCGGUUUGAGGUGUUAGAGUUGUGUUGGAGCCGGUUAUAGAACUUCGGAGCGAGGUAAGUCUCCUUUCUAACCUUGUAAGAGGAAAUUAACCCCAUAUGUGAACUAAAUUAUUAAUGUGUUUCUAUUUGUGGGGGCUACGUACGCACGAGGUGACGAGAGUCCGUACGUAGCUACUAGCUAUACCUAUGUCCGGGUAGUUUUAAGCUUACAUCAUGCCUUGUUGAUAUUAUUGUUGAUUUAUGUGAAUUGUUUGCCUUGAGAAGAAGCGAGAUUUAGUUAGAUUUUUAAAUGUUUUGAAAGGAGUUAAUCUUAAGGAAAAUUGGGAACUUAAAAGUUUUUAUUUGAACUUUGUAUUUUGAAAAGAAUUGAAGAAUACUAUAAUAACUUAAGAAAUCUAUGUGUAACCGCGUCACACGUAUGAUUCGCGAACGAGGUAAUUCUUUAAAUUUGUGUUUGACUGCGUUGCAUGUAUGAUUCGCGAGCAGGGUAAAUAGAUGCAUCUAUGGUUCGCGAAGUUCGACCCUCGGCAAUACACAGCUUAUAUAUAUAUAUAUUGGAUCGGAUCGGACGUCCUCGAUGGUAUUUGUAUAUGAAAAUAGAACUGAAAGUCCUUUUUUGUAAUUGAUAUAAGUUCAUUGUUUGUGUGAUCCCAUGUUUUAAAGGAAGGAUGUAAUUUAAGCUCUUAAUUAUGGGGAAGACUUGUUCAGUUAUUUCUUGUUCUGAGUUUAUUGUUGUAUAUCAUGCCUAAUUAGAAUUUCAUAUUAUUAUAUUAUUGGACUGCUAGUAAAUAUCGGGGUCGACCUCUCGUCACUACUUCUUCGAAGUUAAACAAGAUAUUUACGGGGUACGCAUUAUUUUCGUACUUAUACUACACUUGUUGUACAGGCACAUGUGUGUUCAGUGGCCUUGUGGGCGCAGCGGCGUGGGUGAUACGGGUACUUAGGUGAGCUGCAUGUUAUGAGACUAUCCGCAGCCAGCGGAGUCUCCCUCAGAGUACUUGUAUUUUCUUUUUGUCCAAAUUUGCAUUCCGGACAGUUAUUUAUUAUAUUUUAAAUCCUAGUAAUUGCUCAUGCACUUGUAACACCGAAUUCUGGGAUGAUUAUAAAAUAUUCAGUAUUGAAUUUGAAAAUAUUUUUAUUUCUCCGUAAAACUCAUCUGUUGCUAGUUAAAUUGAAGGAAAUUUAUGAUUUCAAAAAUAUUAAAAUAAGGAGUUAAUUAACUAUUUAAUGUUGGCGUGUCUGACAAUGGUGUCAGGCGCCAUCACGACCUUUAAUGGAUUUUGGAUCGUGAUAAAAUUUGAUUAUGUAGUAGCCUUCCCCGUGCAUGUACAGAUCUGGUUCUGUAAUUGCAUUCCAAUUAAGUUCUAUAUACCUUUUCAUAGCAUUAUACCCCAUGUCCCCAAUUACAUAUGCAAUUAAAGCCCCUUUCUAUUUCUCCGUUUCUCUAUCUACUUUAUCCUUGUCCAAUUUGACUAUCAUUUACCCAUUCACAACCUGUGGUGGGAUAUAGGUUAGAGCAAUACCAUUUUCAGCAGCCCUAUUUUUAGCAAAUAGGUUAACCCACGUCUGAGUGCCUUCUUUCUCUGUCUUCUUGUUCUCCUCCCCUUCUGUAGUUACUGUUCCAUUGCUCUGCUUCACUGGUGGAGUUGCAAUUUCCUUUGCUUUCUCUACUUCCAGAUCUGCUCGUUCCUCUGAUGUUGUUGGGCUCAUUUGAAGCUUUUUCACCGCUCCAAUUGAUGAUUCUCCUUGGCUCAAACAGAGAAUUUUGUUUCCACCAUUCUUUCUUUCACCUCCGAUCCUCACCGGAGAUAAAUAAAAUUUCUAGCGACACUUCAAAGUAAUGGAGGGAUAUCUAAUAUCAAAAAGGAAGGUGGAAUGAAAAAUAAUAAUAAUAAUAAUAAUGAGAAAAAAAAAAGGAAAGAGUAUCGGAGGUGAAAGAAAGAAAGAAAGAAAAGGGAGAAAUGUAAAAUUGAAAAAGAAGCAAUAGGAAGGAUUAGUCGGUGAAGUGAUUAAUGAACUGAAGAAGGAGGGCUAGGGAGAAGAAUAAAAUGAAAAAAUAAAUAAAUAAAACAAAUGACAAUAAAAAGGAAUUUGUAUACUUUAAAAAAG